AGCCGUUGCCGCCAGAUCCGCCGCUGCCGGAGCUUCUGUCCGGGUCCUGCCACUGGAGAACACCUCUGUCGCCACCGAGAUCUGCCGCCGUCGCCGUUGUCGGAGUUCUGGUCGUCGCUGUCGUUCGAGGUGGCUGCCGGAGCUGCCGCCAAACCGGUUCAGCGAUUGCCGCUGUUUCAUUUUCUUAGUUUGGGUUGUGUUUUGAGCGUCAUAUGUCGCUCUUAAGUUGCUGUGAGUGCUGCGGAAGUGAUCAGGGACUGAGUUUGCGGUUGCUGUUGGUUUCGGGUUAAGAGAAAUGGUUUCGUUGACGCAUUUUAAGCUAUGGUUUCGAUGAGUCGAGCUUUACCUUUUCAGGAACCGGAUGAAGAAGCGUUAAGAAGAGUUAUACCGCGUUUGGUUGAUAUGUUGUUGUAUUAAUUAGAUUAUUUUAUUCCCUCGACUUUGUUAUUACAAAUUUGUAAGAGGGAUAGGAUUUGUAUGUUUUAUAUCUAUAUUAUAUUAUGAGUUAUUAUGUAAGGAGUCUUGUAUAUGAAUCUAUGUCUGAUUGUUUUUUUAUUAAGAUAAAGUGUUUACUUCCGGUUUUCAAGGAAA
Molecule: long non-coding RNA, 591 nt
Organism: Arachis duranensis
Lineage: Eukaryota; Viridiplantae; Streptophyta; Magnoliopsida; Fabales; Fabaceae
Exons: 3
Source: RefSeq, a predicted model, not a curated record